RNAcentral lists this ribosomal RNA (446 nucleotides) under uncultured bacterium. RNAcentral's name for it is "partial 16S ribosomal RNA". It matches the Rfam family "Bacterial small subunit ribosomal RNA", at positions 330 to 793 of the family's 1533-position model. The record is from RNAcentral.
ACCAGACUCCUACGGGAGGCAGCAGUAGGGAAUAUUGCUCAAUGGGGGGAACCCUGAUGCAGCGACGCCGCGUGGGUGAAGAAGCGCCUCGGCGCGUAAAGCCCUGUCAGCAGGGAAGAAAAUGACGGUACCUGAAGAAGAAGCCCCGGCUAACUACGUGCCAGCAGCCGCGGUAAUACGUAGGGGGCAAGCGUUAUCCGGAUUUACUGGGUGUAAAGGGGGCGCAGACGGCGAUGCAAGCCAGGAGUGAAAGCCCGGGGCCCAACCCCGGGACUGCUCUUGGAACUGCGUGGCUGGAGUGCAGGAGGGGCAGGCGGAAUUCCUGGUGUAGCGGUGAAAUGCGUAGAUAUCAGGAGGAACACCGGUGGCGAAGGCGGCCUGCUGGACUGCAACUGACGUUGAGGCCCGAAAGCGUGGGGAGCAAACAGGAUUAGAUACCCCCGUAA